This 492-nucleotide ribosomal RNA is filed under the name uncultured bacterium. Its description in RNAcentral is "partial 16S ribosomal RNA". It matches the Rfam family "Bacterial small subunit ribosomal RNA", at positions 29 to 507 of the family's 1533-position model. The record is from RNAcentral.
AGUGAACGCUGGCGGUAGGCCUAACACAUGCAAGUCGAACGGCAGCACAGUAAGAGCUUGCUCUUACGGGUGGCGAGUGGCGGACGGGUGAGGAAUACAUCGGAAUCUACUUUUUCGUGGGGGAUAACGUAGGGAAACUUACGCUAAUACCGCAUACGACCUACGGGUGAAAGCAGGGGAUCUUCGGACCUUGCGCGAUUGAAUGAGCCGAUGUCGGAUUAGCUAGUUGGCGGGGUAAAGGCCCACCAAGGCGACGAUCCGUAGCUGGUCUGAGAGGAUGAUCAGCCACACUGGAACUGAGACACGGUCCAGACUCCUACGGGAGGCAGCAGUGGGGAAUAUUGGACAAUGGGCGCAAGCCUGAUCCAGCAAUACCGCGUGAGUGAAGAAGGCCUUCGGGUCGUAAAGCCCUGUUGUUGGGAAAGAAAAGAAGCAGGUUAAUCCCCCGCUGUUCUGACGGUACCCAAAGAGUAAGCACCGGCUAACUUCGUG